RNAcentral lists this long non-coding RNA (1236 nucleotides) under Oryctolagus cuniculus (rabbit). RNAcentral describes it as "lncRNA (ENSOCUG00000039587.1)". The record is from RNAcentral. Lineage: Eukaryota; Metazoa; Chordata; Mammalia; Lagomorpha; Leporidae.
CAGGUGGGGAGCUGGGUUCCGGCAGGCUCCCAGAGCUGCAGGUACAGGCCAGUUUCAGGCCGGUGUGGGGGACAUCCUGAGGUCACGCUGUGUCCUGCAGCCUGCCCUGACCACAGCUCGGGUGUCUGUGAGGGCAGCAGGCAUGGGGGCGGGGCGCUGCUCCCCACAGAGGGGCUCUGGGGCAGCAGGACCCUGUCCCCAGCUGUCUCCUUGCUGCAUGGGCCCCGAACAGGAUUGAGUCAGACCUGAGGUCAGAGGGGCUUGACCAGCAGGGUCCCUGCCCUGAGGUUCAGCUCAGAGCCCUCUCACUGCCCGUCCCCCCUGACUCACUUCUUGGUCCCUGUCCACCUGCGCCCAUGUGGACCCCUCUGGGGUGCAGCCUUGCUGGGUCCCAGCCUCGGCUCCCCUCUGCCUGUGGUCUCUGCCCUUUGUCCACGGCCUUGCAGCUGCACAUCCCAGCACACCCAGCCCAAGCCUGUCGCUGGCUCUGAGCGCCUGCUCGUUGGGUCCUGGGCCUGGCCUCCUGGACAGCUGCUCACCGAGCCGGGGGCCCCAGGGUCCAGCCUGCAGGGCCCUGCCCAGGGACUGGGAAGUUCCAGCAGGGAGAGCCUGCCGGCAGGCAGCAGCCCUGAGCACCCAGCCUGAGCCGGCCGGCGUGUCCUGCGAGCCACAGCUCCUUCCUGCUGGCGGCUUCCGUCCUGCAGCAGCCCUGCCCCAGCCCGGGGCUGCCCCGCCCAUGUCCCAGGCUUGGUGACAACAGUGGAGUGGACGUCAAGGGCCCAGGCUUCCUUCAGCCCCUCCUGGCCUCUGCCUCACCCAGCCCCCUUACCCUGCGGCUGCCUGCCCUGGGCCCAGCCCCCCUUGCUCCCCAGCCCCAGUCCCUCCUCUCCCUGGACCCAGCUUGCGACCUUCAACCUGGCAGAUGGACAUGUGGUGAGCAACCCCCCAGGCCAGGCCCCCGCUAGUGUGCUGGUCAUUGCUGAGGGUCACUGCUAGGUCUCUUCCUCUCCAGACCCGGGAUGCGCUCUGCCCACAGUGGGGGGCUGGACAGCUGGGCGGGGGCCUCUCUCCCUGGCUGGUUGGGCCUGCAGUGGGGAAGGGCCACUGUCUUCAUUGUUCCUUCCACAAACCAUACCUAGGAGGUCCUGAAUUUUGUUAAGGGGGAAAGGACGUUUCUAGAACCACAGCUGGGGUAGGGUGGGGGGCAGCGCUGUGGUGCAAUGGGUUAAAGCCCUG